ACUACUACGUGGAGAAAAGAAGUUUAAAGAUGCCCUGAACUGUUCACAGUUGAGAUGGCUAAUCAGUUUCGAGGCUCCAGGGACAUCGGGAAGCUUUACAACGCGGUCUCCCUUUCAUCUCAAACUGGAUGGAGACGCUCAAUUAAAAGCCUAUCAGUUUGUCAUCUCGGAGAGCCAGAAAACCUGGAAUGGAUAUCAACUAGAGUAAUUUAUUU
Molecule: long non-coding RNA, 215 nt
Organism: Anguilla anguilla (European eel)
Lineage: Eukaryota; Metazoa; Chordata; Actinopteri; Anguilliformes; Anguillidae
Exons: 2
Source: RefSeq, a predicted model, not a curated record